Long non-coding RNA from Oxyura jamaicensis (ruddy duck), 2201 nucleotides. RefSeq lists it as uncharacterized. Lineage: Eukaryota; Metazoa; Chordata; Aves; Anseriformes; Anatidae. The transcript has 3 exons. The record is from RefSeq and is a predicted model, not a curated record.
AUGAAUAAUUUACCUUGCGUUUACAGCAAGGACACUUGGAUUUCUUUAACUCCUCAACUCUGCGAAGCCUGAAACUUUUCUUUCCUCAGCUCGACCUCCUUACGGCUCCGCCUGAGCAGGUGCUCUGGAUCCUCGCCGUCUGCAGGGAGGCAGCAACUGCUCGCAGCACAAAGCCGUGAUGAUGUCUGAGUUUCCUCCCAGGUGAGGGUUUUCUCUGCGCCACGCUCGCCAUUUGUUGCAAUCGCCAGCACGAUCUCACCCCCACGCAGAGCUUUCCUCCCCGUACUGCUCCGCGCCCAGCUCCGUUUUCUCCAGAACUUGAGCACACCGUGCUCGAUGAUUACAGCGCUCAAAAACCAGAGAAACACUCGGUCAGAUCCAGCCUUAAAUCUGCAAGAGUGAGAACCUCAAAACAGCGUCUUGUAGAGGAUCGCAGCGUAACGGCCUGUAGCUCACUGCGUCGGUUCCCCCAACUAACCCGUGUGCCUCGUGAAAACUUUGGCUUUCCGGGUUGGAGACUGCUUUUAUCUCCCUUAGUUCCAUCUGCGAUUUCUUUCUCUUUCCAGCUACUGAACGCUGGAAUCAGUGGUCCUUGAAAUACCUUACUAAAUCUGGUGAGGCCAGAACAGCAAAAAGAUUUGUAAAGAGGGCAACUCGGCAUCACCUGAAAAUGUAAAGCACGACAAGUUUAGCUACUUCUGUCAGUUUUUUGUCUUCAGCUUCUACAUAGGAGCAUUUCCUAUUCGUAUUUCUUUAAAAAUGGGGUAUAUUUAUUUUGAAUUAUUUUGUCUUGAGGGACUACAAAUUGCAACGAGGUGCCUUUGAUGGAAGAUCACUAGCAGGGUGACAGAGCUGCCUGGGAAAUAAGAGGGGCUGGAUGCUCCGGCGUAACGUAUCCUGCAGGAUAUGUGUGGGCUUGAACUGAUUUGUCAAAUUUGAGCACAGAAAACGAUUUUGCUAAUGGGUGUUUUCUGAACAACGAGCGUGUUGUCUCGGCAGUUUGUGCUCUGACUUGUGCUGUCUUCUCGCCACCCAUCCUUGGCAGGCGCAGAGAGGAGGCACCGGUGUCUUCUCCCCGCACCUCGCUCCUCGUUAGCCCGACAGCCCGGCCAGAUCCCGACAGCUCGUGCGACGGGUUGAAAAGCACGCUCGAGAUUUCCUCCUCCAAACCUACUCACCCGACUUCUCGAACGUGUUUGCUUUGGCUCGGUAAUGCCCCCUUCCCUUAAUCCCCGUGGCUUUGGUUCUGCGGCCCGCAGGGCAAGGUCUGCUCAGAAGGCGAGGAAGGCAAACGGGCACCCCUGGGAUGAACGAAGCCGCCCCCUCCCUGCUGCCCCAUUUUUGUGCUGCUGCACGUGGAGCGAGGAAAUCGCGGGGGUCUGCGCAGUUUAGGAGCAGCGACUGGGCUGCAGUGCCGCACUGCAUGGGAUUUCGCUUAGGCACGCAGGCAUGGCAAUGUUUCUCUCAUUAAUAGCGGGAUUCCCUUCACAUGGCGAUGUUUCUUCAGCUGCUGACUCACAAAUAAAUCAUUUAACUGACUUUUUUUUUUUCCCCUUUCCCAUUUGGGAAGCUCCUGUAAGCUUCCCUUAUCCUCAGCCAGAGGCCUAGCAGGAGGCUUGAAAAACGAAGAGCGGCGUCUCCUGCAGCGCAGUUCGGUAACGUCACCUCAGACGUGCCGUGGGGGAGCACCGAGCAUCGCGACCUCCCGUCUGAUAAUCACAGCUUUCCCUCUUUAACGUGUGCUUGGCGCGAGAGCAGCAGCUACAUAAAACUAACACCUUUUUUUCGCUAGGUGCUGCUAGUCCAGCCGCAGUGAACUCCGCUCACUUGUGCAACUUCUUAAAUAAAAAACAUUGUCAGCGCUAAAGAUACAGUCAGCAAGGCUGCCCCUCUACCUGGCGCUGGAGAACCGUGUGAGAGCACAGGGGACGUGCGGCGGAUUUGUUACCGACAGUGCUGUUGUAUCGCAUCCAACUGCAAAACCUAUCAGGACGUUCUGUAUCGAUUGGACUACAACGACCAAAAUAACAAAGGUGUAACAAAGCGAGCAACCAACUAAAAGCCAAAUACUAGCGGCGACCUGAGGCCUAAAACAAAGCACAGAGCAUCAGUAAUUGGUGCUGGGGGAGCUUAAAGUCGAGAGGUGUUUCUCUCUUUGUCCUGAAAAUUCUCAGGAGCUGGAGGCUGGUGUUUCCAGCACC